RNA transcript from Ziziphus jujuba (common jujube), 1354 nucleotides. RefSeq lists it as uncharacterized. Lineage: Eukaryota; Viridiplantae; Streptophyta; Magnoliopsida; Rosales; Rhamnaceae. The record is from RefSeq and is a predicted model, not a curated record. The transcript has 4 exons.
CCCACCUCUCUGAAGCUCUCACAAACAGAAACAGAGAACAAACAAGAAAGAGAGAGAGAAAUUAGAGAGAGAAAUGGAAGUAUUUCCCAUUGAAUCUGAAUCAUGGGUAUUCUCUACAAGCCCAUACCAAGAGAACCCAGAUGAGAAAACCCUCACAGACCAAUCUAGAACCUCCUCUGGAUCUUCUUUGGUUAGCCAAGAACACGAGGAGGACUGGCCAAGAAUGAAGAACGAGAAGAAGAAAAAGAAGAAGAACCAGGUUUUGCUUGAAGCGUAUGUGGAGGCUGCGGAUGAGGACGAUCUGACGAGGACCAAGAGCUUGACGGAUGAAGAUCUUGAUGAGCUCAAAGGUUGUUUGGAUCUGGGAUUUGGGUUCAGCUACGACGAGAUUCCUGAGCUCUGCAACACGUUGCCUGCGCUUGAGCUUUGCUAUUCCAUGAGUCAGAAGUUUAAUGAUGACCAACAGAAGUCGCCUGAGAGUUCUCCGGCGCCGACUGCGGAUUCGUGCUCUCCGGUGUCGAGUCCGAUUGCUAAUUGGAAGAUCUCUAGUCCCGGUGAUCAUCCAGAGGAUGUUAAAGCAAGGCUCAAAUUCUGGGCACAAGCUGUGGCUUGCACUGUGAGAUUAUGCAGCUGAAACAGGUUAUUGCAACAUCCGCAAGGAAAAGCGGAAGCCAUAUUCUCUUUGAUAUGAGACCUUAAUGGCCUGGACGUUCCAACCUUUAAGUGGAGCUUUUGCUUCAUCGGUCCAUUCCAGGAAGACGUUCACAGGAAGCAAUGUUCCUGCAACUAUUUUAAUUUGGAAAAUGGACACGGCAGGGAUGAUGGAUGAAGGGGUCUAUUUUGGAAGAAGAGGAGGAAGAGGAAUGUUUCAGUGGUGAGAGCCUUCAUUUAGAGCUUCACCAACUCCUUGCUGACCUCUGCAUCUGCUGAGAUUAAUGUCCAUUCUGCUGUAUUGCAGUCACGAGUCGAAACAGGGACUGGAUUGCCAACAGAAUUUCUUUGAUGAAUGACGAAAUUUUUUUAUGGAAAGGUUUCUUUUGGUUCUGUGUGAAGAAUGGGUUUAAGAGUUUUUAAAGUAUUGAUAGACGCUUUGUUUUAUGAUCGAUCAUUAGAGUUUUGACUGUUAGAUCAUGUUUUGAGUUAUCGAUCAUUAGCUUAUGUUUGGUUGCGAAGAAAGAAAAUAGAAAGGAUGUAUAGCCUAGGAGUGAUGGAAAGUGGGAAUGGAGGAGAAAAUUUUGUUUUAAUCCAUGUUAGUGUAGUAGGAGGAGACAUAAAUUCUCGUGUCUUUGGUAUUUAUGGUACAAAGUGGAAGGCAAGAAAGUUCAUUUAAUACUAUAUUAUCAUUUUGUUGGUC